GAAGGUAUCGCUUAAAUGGCUGAGUGCAUGCUUAGCAUGCAUGAGGUCCUGGGUUCAAUUCCCAGUACCUCCU
Molecule: transfer RNA, 73 nt
Filed under: Camelus bactrianus (Bactrian camel)
Lineage: Eukaryota; Metazoa; Chordata; Mammalia; Artiodactyla; Camelidae
Also listed under: 1 other name
Rfam family: tRNA
About the family: Transfer RNA (tRNA) molecules are approximately 80 nucleotides in length. Their secondary structure includes four short double-helical elements and three loops (D, anti-codon, and T loops).
Source: Rfam by way of RNAcentral